Molecule: ribosomal RNA, 465 nt
Filed under: uncultured bacterium
Lineage: Bacteria
Description: partial 16S ribosomal RNA
Rfam family: Bacterial small subunit ribosomal RNA
Source: RNAcentral
CCUACGGGAGGCAGCAGUAGGGAAUCUUCCACAAUGGGCGAAAGCCUGAUGGAGCAACGCCGCGUGGGUGAAGAAGGUCUUCGGAUCGUAAAACCCUGUUGUUAGAGAAGAAAGUGCGUGAGAGUAACUGUUCACGUUUCGACGGUAUCUAACCAGAAAGCCACGGCUAACUACGUGCCAGCAGCCGCGGUAAUACGUAGGUGGCAAGCGUUAUCCGGAUUUAUUGGGCGUAAAGGGAACGCAGGCGGUCUUUUAAGUCGGAUGUGAAAGCCUUCGGCUUAACCGGAGUAGUGCAUUGGAAACUGGGAGACUUGAGUGCAGAAGAGGAGAGUGGAACUCCAUGUGUAGCGGUGAAAUGCGUAGAUAUAUGGAAGAACACCAGUGGCGAAAGCGGCUCUCUGGGCUGUAACUGACGCUGAGGUUCGAAAGCGUGGGUAGCAAACAGGAUUAGAUACCCCAGUAGUC